AUUGAACGCUGGCGGCAGGCUUAACACAUGCAAGUCGAACGAGAGGCGGACGGGUGAGUAAUGUCUGGGAAACUGCCCGAUGGAGGGGGAUAACUACUGGAAACGGUAGCUAAUACCGCAUACCAUCGGAUGUGCCCAGAUGGGAUUGGCUAGUAGGUGGGGUAACGGCUCACCUAGGCGACGGUCCCUAGCUGGUCUGAGAGGCGGACCAGCCACACUGGAACUGAGCCACGGGCCAGACUCCUACGGGAGGCAGCAGUGGGGAAUAUUGAGCAAUGGGCGCAAGCCUGAUGCAGCCAUGCCGCGUGUGUGAAGAAGGCCUUCGGGUUGUAAAGUACUUUCAGCGAGGAGGCGUUACUCGCAGAAGAAGCACCGGCUAACUCCGUGCCAGCAGCCGCGGUAAUAC
RNAcentral lists this ribosomal RNA (406 nucleotides) under uncultured bacterium. RNAcentral describes it as "partial 16S ribosomal RNA". It matches the Rfam family "Bacterial small subunit ribosomal RNA", at positions 30 to 526 of the family's 1533-position model. The record is from RNAcentral.